GAUGAACGCUGGCGGCGUGCUUAACACAUGCAAGUCGAACGGAAGGGCCCAAGCUUGCUUGGGUACUCGAGUGGCGAACGGGUGAGUAACACGUGGGUGAUCUGCCCUGCACUUCGGGAUAAGCCUGGGAAACUGGGUCUAAUACCGGAUAGGACGAUGGUUUGGAUGCCAUUGUGGAAAGUUUUUUCGGUGUGGGAUGAGCUCGCGGCCUAUCAGCUUGUUGGUGGGGUAAUGGCCUACCAAGGCGUCGACGGGUAGCCGGCCUGAGAGGGUGUACGGCCACAUUGGGACUGAGAUACGGCCCAGACUCCUACGGGAGGCAGCAGUGGGGAAUAUUGCACAAUGGGCGCAAGCCUGAUGCAGCGACGCCGCGUGGGGGAUGACGGCCUUCGGGUUGUAAACUCCUUUCGCUAGGGACGAAGCGUUUUUGUGACGGUACCUGGAGAAGAAGCACCGGCUAACUACGUG
Molecule: ribosomal RNA, 468 nt
Filed under: uncultured bacterium
Lineage: Bacteria
Description: partial 16S ribosomal RNA
Rfam family: Bacterial small subunit ribosomal RNA
Source: RNAcentral